AACGAACGCUGGCGGCAUGCCUAACACAUGCAAGUCGAGCGAGAUCUUCGGGUCUAGUGGCGCACGGGUGCGUAACGCGUGGGAAUCUGCCCUUUGGUUCGGAAUAACAGUUGGGAACGACUGCUAAUCCCGGAUGAUAACGAAAGUCCAAAGAUUUAUCGCCAGAGGAUGAGCCCGCGUAGGAUUAGCUAGUUGGUGUGGUAACGGCGCACCAAGGCGACGAUCCUGAGCUGGUCUGAGAGGAUGAUCAGCCAAACUGGGACUGAGACACGGCCCAGACUGCUACGGGAGGCAGCAGUGGGGAAUAUUGGCCAAUGGGCGAAAGCCUGAUCCAGCAAUGCCGCGUGAGUGAUGAAGGCCUUAGGGUUGUAAAGCUCUUUUACCCGGGAUGAUAAUGACAGUACCGGGAGAAUAAGCUCCGGCUAACUCCGUGCCAGCCGCCGCGGUAA
This 449-nucleotide ribosomal RNA is filed under the name uncultured bacterium. RNAcentral describes it as "partial 16S ribosomal RNA". It matches the Rfam family "Bacterial small subunit ribosomal RNA", at positions 29 to 523 of the family's 1533-position model. The record is from RNAcentral.